This 240-nucleotide unclassified non-coding RNA is filed under the name soil metagenome. RNAcentral describes it as "partial contains 5.8S ribosomal RNA, internal transcribed spacer 2, and large subunit ribosomal RNA". The record is from RNAcentral.
AACAUCGCGCACCUGCGGGAACCUGCGGAAGGAUCAUUGGAGAGGGGUAAUUUUUUUGUGGGGUGUGGAUGUUUUGGGAGGGGAUUGAGGGUUGAUUAGAAGGGUCGAUGUUGGGGUGCUUUGAUGUUGGAGAACUUCACCGUCGGAGUACUUCACCGUUGUAACCUUCGUCGCCUGCUAUCAACCCCCCUCCCAUAAAAAAGCUUCAACACAAUACUGAACAUCAAUCAAUCAUUUACA